This 29-nucleotide small RNA is filed under the name Bombyx mori (domestic silkworm). RNAcentral's name for it is "ovarian small RNA-33837". Lineage: Eukaryota; Metazoa; Arthropoda; Insecta; Lepidoptera; Bombycidae. The record is from RNAcentral.
UGCCUAUACAUUUUCUCCACGUCAGCUAC